RNAcentral lists this ribosomal RNA (492 nucleotides) under uncultured bacterium. Its description in RNAcentral is "partial 16S ribosomal RNA". It matches the Rfam family "Bacterial small subunit ribosomal RNA", at positions 29 to 507 of the family's 1533-position model. The record is from RNAcentral.
AGUGAACGCUGGCGGUAGGCCUAACACAUGCAAGUCGAACGGCAGCACAGUAAGAGCUUGCUCUUACGGGUGGCGAGUGGCGGACGGGUGAGGAAUACAUCGGAAUCUACUUUUUCGUGGGGGAUAACGUAGGGAAACUUACGCUAAUACCGCAUACGACCUACGGGUGAAAGCAGGGGAUCUUCGGACCUUGCGCGAUUGAAUGAGCCGAUGUCGGAUUAGCUAGUUGGCGGGGUAAAGGCCCACCAAGGCGACGAUCCGUAGCUGGUCUGAGAGGAUGAUCAGCCACACUGGAACUGAGACACGGUCCAGACUCCUACGGGAGGCGGCAGUGGGGAAUAUUGGACAAUGGGCGCAAGCCUGAUCCAGCCAUACCGCGUGGGUGAAGAAGGCCUUCGGGUUGUAAAGCCCCUUUGUUGGGAAAGAAAAGCAGCAGGUUAAUACCCCGCUGUUCUGACGGUACCCAAAGAAUAAGCACCGGCUAACUUCGUG